RNAcentral lists this long non-coding RNA (1136 nucleotides) under Setaria viridis. RNAcentral describes it as "long non-coding RNA (SVIR_LNC006248)". Lineage: Eukaryota; Viridiplantae; Streptophyta; Magnoliopsida; Poales; Poaceae. The record is from RNAcentral.
CAAAUUGGGGGCAUGAGAUGGCCCUGUAGUUCCGGAAGUAUGCUGUGAAUGGCUCCUGUGACCAGUCGGUCUUGACCCGCCCGCCUUGCGUUGCCCAGUCAUCUGCAUUCCAGAUGGUGGCGUACACCCUCAUCGGAUAAUAGUAUGGGUAUGGGGCACCAUACAUCUGGUUGUUUUUGAUCUGCCGGUACAGCUUGUCAUCGACAAGGAAUCUGCAGCUCAGAAAUAGCGAUAUGAUUAUUACUUGCAGAAAAGGAAAAAUAUAUAGCAAUAUGAUUAGGCUUAGUGCUUGCAGAAAAAUAAGUAGGAUGAACAAGAUCAUUUCCUACUAGGUCAAUUCUUUUUCUAAAAUAUCUCUUCUAUUGACAUGGGGAGACCCUGUAGCCUUAUUACCGCCUUAGACCUUACUUCUCCUACCCCUCUCUGAAAGAAAAAUCUUUAGUAUGUACUACUGAAUGAUAUGGCACUGCAAAACUGAGCCUUAUACAUGAGCUAUAGUUUUUGCUAGAUGGAAGGGGGGAGCUUACAAGAUCCAGUCUUUAUUCCAGAUGAUGGUGUACUUGUGGUAAUCUUGAGUGGGAUCAAAAUCAAACUUGUACUGCUUCUCUCUGCCACCUUGUCCUCUGGCAUACAUGUUAGUGUGCAUGGUGUAGGGCUGGCCAGUGCUGUUCCCCAAGAACUCGAUGUCGAUCUCAUCAUGGUACUGCCAUGCCCCCUCUGUUAUCAUCUGUCACCAGAUUGCGACACAUAUUAGGUUGGUCUGACUCUGAAGGAUCCACAAGAGACUAGAAUGUCAAUAAUCAGUUGUUUUGUUAGCUACUUACAUAAAACGUGGUCACAGUGCCAGCUGAGUUCCCUGGGACGAGCUUGAUCUCCACGUCGAUCCUGCAGAACUGGCAUGUCUUCUUAGAGCGGAACGCAGAGCUAGUCGAGCGGUCGAGUGUCAGCGCGAUGGCCUUUUGGCCAGAGCUGUCAGUGACCACCUUUGCGUUGCCCCACAUUAUCUCUAGGUCAUCUAGGUCAUCAGUCUGGCCACCAGUGACAUGGGUGAUGGCUAGGAUAAGGUAGAUAGCCGCUAGGGAGGCUAGGAGUUGAGUCCUAGCCUGCCCCAUGGCUGCUGGUGCUGUUGGGUAGGU